GACGAACGCUGGCGGCGUGCCUAAUACAUGCAAGUAGAACGCACAGUUUAUACCGUAGCUUGCUACACCAUAGACUGUGAGUUGCGAACGGGUGAGUAACGCGUAGGUAACCUGCCUGGUAGCGGGGGAUCACUAUUGGAAACGAUAGCUAAUACCGCAUAAUAUUCAUUAUUGCAUGAUAAUUAAUUGAACGGUGCAAUUGCACCACUACCAGAUGGACCUGCGUUGUAUUAGCUAGUAGGUGAGGUAACGGCUCACCUAGGCGACGAUACAUAGCCGACCUGAGAGGGUGAGCGGCCACACUGGGACUGAGACACGGCCCAGACUCCUACGGGAGGCAGCAGUAGGGAAUCUUCGGCAAUGGACGAAAGUCUGACCGAGCAACGCCGCGUGAGUGAAGAAGGUUUUCGGAUCGUAAAGCUCUGUUGUAAGAGAAGAAAGGGUGUGAGAGUGGAAAGUUCACACUGUGACGGUAUCUUACCAGAAAGGGACGGCUAACUACGUG
This 505-nucleotide ribosomal RNA is filed under the name uncultured bacterium. RNAcentral describes it as "partial 16S ribosomal RNA". It matches the Rfam family "Bacterial small subunit ribosomal RNA", at positions 28 to 507 of the family's 1533-position model. The record is from RNAcentral.